UAGCCUGACUGGGACAUAUGACCUCAAAAGGACUGAGAGGAAGCCUGGUAGCAGGAUGAGCUGCCUACUUUUCUAAGUCACCUUAGGACAAAUAAGUCUCCAACAUGAGGAGGCAGGAACAAGAACACCUUAGCAUCCUCCAUGAACGUGUGCAGAUGGGAAGAGAUACGACCAAGAGAGGCCAGCACUGCUGUACUCAUCAGACUCUGAUCACAGAAAGCACGUUUCCAUCAAUGUCAUCUAUAGGCUAGCAUGAUGCCAGACAGCCUCAUCCAAAUUCAAGCCUGCCAUUCAUGAGUUUGGAACCAAUGACUUGGGAUCACUGUGAGUCAGUUUGUGCCUCUAUAUAAUGGAACAGUGAUACUUCUAUAUAGUGGGAUAGGUGGUACAUCUCAUAUGGAGCACUGUGAAAUACCAAAUAAAUUGAUACCUGACUAUAAAGUCCUGACAA
This is a long non-coding RNA of Peromyscus leucopus (white-footed mouse), 451 nucleotides long. RefSeq lists it as uncharacterized. Lineage: Eukaryota; Metazoa; Chordata; Mammalia; Rodentia; Cricetidae. The record is from RefSeq and is a predicted model, not a curated record. The transcript has 2 exons.